ACUUGAUAAAGGCAAACUUGUCGAAAGGCAAGGACGCAAAGCCUCGGGCCUAACUCUCCUUCAUGGAGCUAUGGCGGCCGGGUUGCCAUG
Molecule: non-coding RNA, 90 nt
Organism: Paenibacillus dendritiformis C454
Lineage: Bacteria; Bacillati; Bacillota; Bacilli; Caryophanales; Paenibacillaceae
Source: Rfam